UACGAAGGGGGCUAGCGUUGUUCGGAAUUACUGGGCGUAAAGCGCGCGCAGGCGGUCCUUUAAGUCAGGGGUGAAAGCCCAGAGCUCAACUCUGGAACUGCCUUUGAAACUAGAGGACUUGGGUACGGGAGAGGUGAGUGGAAUUCCGAGUGUAGAGGUGAAAUUCGUAGAUAUUCGGAAGAACACCAGUGGCGAAGGCGGCUCACUGGCCAGUUACCGACGCUCAGGCGCGACAGCGUGGGGAGCAAACAGG
This 253-nucleotide ribosomal RNA is filed under the name uncultured bacterium. Its description in RNAcentral is "partial 16S ribosomal RNA". It matches the Rfam family "Bacterial small subunit ribosomal RNA", at positions 524 to 776 of the family's 1533-position model. The record is from RNAcentral.